UCCCUUUUUUUCCGGUCUGGUAACCCGGGCCAGCAGGCGGCCGUACGGAUGUGGAGCUGCAGGGCUCGGUCCCUGCUGUGCGUGUGGGAGGUGCGGCUGGCUAGGUUCCUUGGUAGGAGCCUGCUGAGCAGCAAUGCCGCCUCGGGAAAGAGCAUCGAGCCGCAGUGCUGGAACUGCGGCCGCGCGAUGGGAGCCGGGCGUGGGGAUGAGUUUUUCUGCGCACACUGCCGCGCGCUGCAGCCUCCUGACCCCACUCGGGACUACUUCAGCCUCAUGAACUGCAACCAAUCCUUCAGGGUUGACAUCAGAAAACUUCAACAAAGGUACCAGCAACUACAGCGCCUUAUCCACCCAGAUUUCUUCAGCCAAAAGUCUCAGACUGAGAAACGGUUCUCGGAGAAGCAUUCGACCCUGGUGAAUGAUGCCUACAAGACUCUUCAGGCUCCCCUGAGCAGAGGACUAUAUCUUGUAAGCUAAAGCUCCAAGGAAUAGAAAUUCCUGAAGGGACAGAUUAUAGAACAGACAGUCAGUUCCUUGUGGAAAUCAUGGAAAUCAAUGAAAAACUCGCAGACGCCCAAAGUGAGGCGGCCAUGGAAGAGGUAGAAGCCACUGUCAGAGCUAAACAGAAAGAAUUUACGGACAAUAUAAACAGAGCUUUUGAACAAGGUGAUUUUGAAAAAGCCAAGGAACUUCUUACAAAGAUGAGAUACUUUUCAAACAUAGAAGAAAAGAUCAAGUUAAGCAAGACCCCUCUCUAGUUGCUAUCUUAAAGUUUUAAAAAUAAACUUUGUAUUUCUUU
Molecule: RNA transcript, 799 nt
Organism: Rattus rattus (black rat)
Lineage: Eukaryota; Metazoa; Chordata; Mammalia; Rodentia; Muridae
Gene: Hscb
Gene name: HscB mitochondrial iron-sulfur cluster cochaperone
Exons: 6
Source: RefSeq, a predicted model, not a curated record